Long non-coding RNA from Glycine soja, 602 nucleotides. RefSeq lists it as uncharacterized. The transcript has 2 exons. Lineage: Eukaryota; Viridiplantae; Streptophyta; Magnoliopsida; Fabales; Fabaceae. The record is from RefSeq and is a predicted model, not a curated record.
GGAUUUUAAUGCACAAUUUUGUUGAGAAGUCGGAGCUGGUUUACAUGCAUUAUUUUGUAUCUAUAAAUUGAUGAUUAUUUUUCUUGAAACAUUGCAACAAGAAUUUAUCAUUUAUACAAAACUUUGAGAUAGGUUGCAAAGGCUUAGAGAAGAGUUAUGGCUAAAAGUGAGAUGAAAUUCAUUGGAGUAGUGAUUCUGAUGAUGAUUAUAGUGGGCUCUACACAAGCUGAUAACAACAGCCCUGACUUGACUGGGUGUGAAGUUAAAUGUGGUUUCAAAUGCAUAGCAUAUUUCUAUAGUAAAAAAAAAUUUGACGAAUGUUGUCUCCCUUGUAUUCGAAAAUGUCAUCAUGAAAUGUCCAUUGAUGUUGUCUAUGAUUGCAUUACUGGUUGCCGCUUAACCAAGUCCAUUGAUGACAACAUUGAUGCUCGUGUUCUUACCGUUCAUGCAAUGGAUUCUUGUGUGCAAGAGUGCAAGAACAAGUAAGAGUUUGUUGCAAAAAUGCUCAGAAAAAAAUAUUAGUUGGAGAAAUAAUAUGUAUCCAUGUUUGUAAUAAAUAAUUCUUAAUAAAUAUGUAAUAUCUCAUCUUUAUUUUCCGUAAA